GUUCUCGUGGCCUAGUGGUUAUGGCGCAUGUCUUACAUAACAUUCUUUCUGAUGAGAAGAAAUAUAGGAUCACAUGAGAUCCCCGGUUCGAUCCCGGGCGAGAACA
Non-coding RNA from Xylaria arbuscula, 106 nucleotides. The record is from the annotation of a GenBank genome assembly. NCBI's taxonomy places the organism in Eukaryota, Fungi, Ascomycota, Sordariomycetes, Xylariales, Xylariaceae.